CGAAGUCUGGUGCCAGCAGCCGCGGUAAUUCCAGCUCCAAUAGCGUAUAUUAAAGUUGUUGCAGUUAAAAAGCUCGUAGUUGAAGUUCUGAUUGUUCGGGCCUCGCGCUUUAUAGCCGAGGAACCGACAGUCAUCCGCUUGCCAAAUAUAUGUUCGCCUUUUAACCGGGUGGCUAUAUGAGUAAGCAAUUUACCUUGAGAAAAACAGAGUGUUCCAGGCAGGUUUGUCCGGAAUGCAUUAGCAUGGAAUAAUAGAAUAUGACUGAAGUCGAUUUAUUGGUUUAAGGCUUUAGUAAUGAUUAAUAGGAACAGUCGGGGGCAUUGGUACUUGACAGUCAGAGGUGAAAUUCUAGGAUUUGUCAAAGACUAACAAAUGCGAAAGCAUUUGCCAAGGAUGUUUUCAUUAAUCAAGAACGAAAGUUAGGGGGAUCAAAGACGAUCAGAUACCGUCCUAGUCUUAACUAUAAACUAUACCGACUCGGAUUCAGAUGAAUCAAAAAGUUCAUUUGGGACCGUAGGAGAAAUCAAAGUUUUUGGGGUUCUGGGGGG
Molecule: ribosomal RNA, 548 nt
Filed under: uncultured eukaryote
Lineage: Eukaryota
Description: SSU rRNA
Rfam family: Eukaryotic small subunit ribosomal RNA
Source: RNAcentral